This 23-nucleotide microRNA is filed under the name Pan troglodytes (chimpanzee). Its description in RNAcentral is "ptr-miR-1182". RNAcentral also lists the same sequence under 1 other name. Lineage: Eukaryota; Metazoa; Chordata; Mammalia; Primates; Hominidae. The record is from miRBase by way of RNAcentral.
GAGGGUCUUGGGAGGGAUGUGAC